Molecule: ribosomal RNA, 253 nt
Filed under: uncultured bacterium
Lineage: Bacteria
Description: partial 16S ribosomal RNA
Rfam family: Bacterial small subunit ribosomal RNA
Source: RNAcentral
UACGUAGGGUGCGAGCGUUAAUCGGAAUUACUGGGCGUAAAGCGUGCGCAGGCGGUUCGUGAUGUCUGGUGUGAAAGCCCCGGGCUUAACCUGGGAAUUGCAUUGGAAACUAGCGGGCUGGAGUGUGGCAGAGGGGGGUGGAAUUCCACGUGUAGCAGUGAAAUGCGUAGAGAUGUGGAGGAACACCGAUGGCGAAGGCAGCCCCCUGGGCUAACACUGACGCUCAUGCACGAAAGCGUGGGGAUCAAACAGG